AUGAGGACUGCUCUGCUAGGCCACAUCAUGGAGGAAUCGCACCGAUGUAGACCCCUGUCGCAGCCAAGCAGUAGGCUCGUGCUCGUGGAGGAGGCAUCCACAGUGAACCAUCGUCUUCCCCAAGGAGUUAGGCCACCCACAUGCAAAAGGCCGCGGGAUGGCUUUCCUAGGCCCAAAAGCCCGCAAACCCACAAAAAGGUGAGCGAGGCGACGGCCGCAAUUUCGCUUCUCAUCCUCUCCCCGUCGCCGACUCGACGGAGCGCCAAGAAACCAAGAACCCACCGUCGUCACCAUCCCCACCUCCCCUUCCCUGCUCGGUUUCUCUCUCCACCGCGCGCCUCUGCUCCCCAGCGACCGAUGGAUCAGUUCCACCAUGGCCACCACGUGCGGCUGCGCAGCCCCGUGCGCGGCGCGUACCUGCACGCCGACGAGGACGGCCACGGAGUCUCCCUCCACGGCCGCCGGGAUUCGAUGAACGUGGCCUGGGCGGUUCAUCUGGUCGAGGGUGACGACGCGCAUUACCUGCACCUCCACAGCGCCGCCUACGGCCGCUACCUCGCCUCCACGACCGCGUCGGCGCCGCUCGGCCACCACGGGCUCCGCGUCGAGCAGCGCAACUACAACCAUACAUACGAGACCGCACUCGUUUGGCUCGCCAUCCUGUCGGACUCCGGGGACGAGAUCCUGCUCCAGCACUUCAACGGUCGCUUCCUCCGCGCCAACGGGAGGUACCUCCCCUGGAACAACGGCGCCAGCAUCGACUACAUCAACGACAUCCACCACAUCAGCACGAUGAUGCACUGGGUCGUGGAGGACGUCCCCGCCAGGGACACCAUGCCUCCCCUUCCACCUCCGACCGGGCUUCCCUUCCCCGCCGCCAUGGUGCCGUCGCGGGUGAUCACGUACGCGUGGAGGAGCUUCGACGGGGACCUCCUCGCCAGCGGCACGAUCGUGUUCACGGGGAGAUCCGUGUUCCGCCUGAGGGAGGAGCUGGCCAGGAGGCUGGUCGUGGGCGCCCUUGCCCUUGCAAACUUGGGCGCCGACGACAUCGUCAUGUGCCUCCCCACACGUGACGGCCGGCUUUUCCCGCUCCUCGUCGACCUGCCCAACAGCCGCCAGAGCCUCCACGUCGCCAUCGCCAUCACCGAGACGCCCACCCACGCGGCGCUGCGGUUCGCGGAUGUCGAUGCAGAGUAG
RNAcentral lists this ribosomal RNA (1197 nucleotides) under Triticum aestivum (bread wheat). RNAcentral describes it as "partial small subunit ribosomal RNA". The record is from RNAcentral. Lineage: Eukaryota; Viridiplantae; Streptophyta; Magnoliopsida; Poales; Poaceae.